UCAAGUUAUUAAGGGUGCAGGGCGGAUGCCUUGGCACUAGGAGCCGAUGAAGGACGUGAUAAGCUGCGAUAAGCUUCGGGGAGUUGCACGUAAACUUUGAUCCGAAGAUUUCCGAAUGAGGAAACUCACUUAGAGUAAUGUCUAAGUAUCAUUAAGUGAAUACAUAGCUUAAUGAGGGGAACUCAGGGAACUGAAACAUCUAAGUACCUGAAGGAAGAGAAAGAAAUUCGAUUCCGUAAGUAGCGGCGAGCGAACGCGGAUUAGCCCAAACCAAUAAAGUUUUCUUUAUUGGGGUUGCGGACAUAUCAUAACGAAGAGGUAUCGUAAUUGAAGAGGUUUGGAAAGACCCACCACAGAAGGUAAUAGUCCUGUAUGUUAAACGAGAAGACUUCAGAUAUGAUCCAGAGUACCACGGGACACGUGAAACCCUGUGGGAAGCAGGAGGGACCACCCUCCAAGGCUAAAUACUACCUAGUGACCGAUAGCGUAUAGUACCGUGAGGGAAAGGUGAAAAGAACCCCGGGAGGGGAGUGAAAUAGAACCUGAAACCCUGCACUUACAAGCUGUGGAAGCACAUUUCUUGUGUGACCGCGUACUUUUUGUAGAACGGGCCAACGAGUUACGUUAAGUAGCAAGGUUAAGCACUUAAGGUGCGGAGCCGUAGCGAAAGCGAGUUUUAACUGAGCGUUCAGUUACUUGACGUAGACCCGAAACCGGGCGACCUACCCAUGAGCAGGAUGAAGCGAAAGUAAAAUUUCGUGGAGGUCCGAACCCACGAGCGUUGAAAAGCUCGGGGAUGACUUGUGGGUAGCGGUGAAAUUCCAAUCGAGCCCGGAGAUAGCUGGUUCUCCCCGAAAUAGCUUUAGGGCUAGCCUCAAGGUGAGAGAUACGGAGGUAGAGCACUGAAUGUCCUAGGGGGUAUUGCACCUACCGAAGACUAUCAAACUCCGAAUGCCGUCAUCUUAUACUUGGGAGUCAGACUGUGGGUGAUAAGAUUCAUAGUCGAAAGGGCAACAGCCCAGAUCGUCAGCUAAGGUCCCUAAAUGUAAGUUAAGUGGUAAAGGAUGUGGGAUUGCACAGACAACCAGGAUGUUGGCUUAGAAGCAGCCACUCAUUCAAAGAGUGCGUAAUAGCUCACUGGUCGAGUGAUCCUGCGCCGAAGAUUUCCGGGGCUAAAACUUACUACCGAAGCUACGGCAUCAGUAAUGAUGGGUAGGGGAGCUUCCCAUACGGGUUGAAGCAUGACCGUAAGGACAUGUGGACAGUAUGGGAGUGAGAAUGUUGGCAUGAGUAGCGAGAUGUGGGUGAGAAUCCCACAGGCCGUAAACCCAAGGUUUCCAGGGGAAGGUUCGUCCGCCCUGGGUUAGUCGGGACCUAAGCUGAGGCCGAAAGGCGUAGGUGAUGGACAACAGGUUGAUAUUCCUGUACUACCGAUAACCGUUUGAGAGAAGGGAUGACACAGUAGGAUAAGCUAAGCACACUGUUGGUUAUGUGUGCCCAAGCAUUGAGGCAGUCAAAGCAGGCAAAUCCGCUUUGAUAAUGCUGGGAUGUGAUGGGGAGCGAAAUUUAGUAGCGAAGUAGCUGAUUUCACACUGUCAAGAAAAGUCUCUAUCGAGGUUAAAGGUACCCGUACCGCAAACCGACACAGGUGGGUGAGGAGAGUAUCCUAAGGCCAGCGAGAGAACUGUUGUUAAGGAACUCGGCAAAAUGACCCCGUAACUUAGGGAUAAGGGGUGCCACCAUCCGGUGGCCGCAGAGAAUAGGCCCAAGCGACUGUUUACCAAAAACAUAGGUUUCUGCUAAGUCGCAAGACGAUGUAUAGGAGCUGACGCCUGCCCGGUGCUGGAAGGUUAAGGGGAUCUGUUAGAGCAAUCGAAGCAGUGAACUUAAGCCCCAGUAAACGGCGGCCGUAACUAUAACGGUCCUAAGGUAGCGAAAUUCCUUGUCGGGUAAGUUCCGACCCGCACGAAAGGCGUAACGAUUUGGGCACUGUCUCAACAACAGACUCGGUGAAAUUGUAAUUCCGGUGAAGAUGCCGGAUACCUGCGACAGGACGGAAAGACCCCAUGGAGCUUUACUGUAGCUUGACAUUGGGUCUUGGUACUACAUGUACAGGAUAGGUGGGAGGCUUUGAAACCAGGACGCCAGUUUUGGCGGAGCCAUCCUUGGGAUACCACCCUUGUAGUACUGGGACUCUAACCAUAGGCCAUGAAUCUGGUCUUGGGACACUGUCAGGUGGGCAGUUUGACUGGGGCGGUCGCCUCCCAAAAGGUAACGGAGGCGCUCAAAGGUUCUCUCAGUACGGUCGGAAAUCGUACGUAGAGUGUAAAGGCAAAAGAGAGCUUGAUUGCAAGACAUACAGGUCGAGCAAGGAUGAAAAUCGGACUUAGUGAUCCGGUGGUUCUGCGUGGAAGGGCCAUCGCUCAACGGAUAAAAGCUACCCUGGGGAUAACAGGCUUAUCUCCCCCAAGAGUCCACAUCGACGGGGAGGUUUGGCACCUCGAUGUCGGCUCAUCACAUCCUGGGGCUGUAGUAGGUCCCAAGGGUUGGGCUGUUCGCCCAUUAAAGUGGUACGCGAGCUGGGUUCAGAACGUCGUGAGACAGUUCGGUCCCUAUCCGUCGCAGGCGUAGGAAAUUUGAGAAGACCUGUCCUUAGUACGAGAGGACCGGGAUGGACGUACCUCUGGUGUACCAGUUGU
This 2699-nucleotide ribosomal RNA is filed under the name Clostridioides difficile. RNAcentral describes it as "23S ribosomal RNA". It matches the Rfam family "Bacterial large subunit ribosomal RNA". The record is from RNAcentral. Lineage: Bacteria; Bacillati; Bacillota; Clostridia; Peptostreptococcales; Peptostreptococcaceae.